Molecule: long non-coding RNA, 202 nt
Filed under: Mytilus galloprovincialis (Mediterranean mussel)
Lineage: Eukaryota; Metazoa; Mollusca; Bivalvia; Mytilida; Mytilidae
Source: RNAcentral
CUUUAACAAAACUAUAAAAAUUUCAAAUAUUUUGAACCAACAGUUUUAUCAGAAAAAUUGCACUGGUUAUAUAGCAGUUUGACAAACACCAAUUUUGAUCAUUGAGAAGCUUAAUAUUCCCUUUACAACACAACGUAAUUAAAACGUUUAGCUGACAUUACAGAGUUAUCUCCCUGUAGUGUUAGGUACCACCUUAAUAUUU